This 264-nucleotide ribosomal RNA is filed under the name uncultured archaeon. RNAcentral's name for it is "partial 16S ribosomal RNA". It matches the Rfam family "Archaeal small subunit ribosomal RNA", at positions 717 to 982 of the family's 1478-position model. The record is from RNAcentral.
AGACGUCUACAUUAGAUACCCGCGUAGUCCCAGCCGUAAACUAUGCGCGUUAGGUGUAUCGGUGACCACGAGUCACCGAGGUGCCGAAGGGAAACCGUGAAACGUGCCGCCUGGGAAGUACGGUCGCAAGGCUGAAGCUUAAAGGAAUUGGCGGGGAGCACCACAACGGGUGGAGCCUGCGGUUUAAUUGGACUCAACGCCGGGAAGCUCACCGGAUAAGACAGCGGAAUGAUUGCCGGGCUGAAGACUCUGCAUGACUAGCUG